AGACCGGAAUAACCCCGGGAAACCGGGGCUAAUGCCGGGUAACCGUUCGGUUCACCUGAACCGAACGUAAAAGGAUGGCUUCUCAGCUAUCGCUUACAGAUGGGCCCGCGGCGCAUUAGCUAGUUGGUAAGGUAACGGCUUACCAAGGCGACGAUGCGUAGCCGACCUGAGAGGGUGAUCGGCCACACUGGGACUGAGACACGGCCCAGACUCCUACGGGAGGCAGCAGUAGGGAAUCUUCCGCAAUGGACGAAAGUCUGACGGAGCAACGCCGCGUGAACGAUGAAGGCCUUCGGGUCGUAAAGUUCUGUUGUGAGGGAAGAACAAGGACCGUGCGAACAGAACGGUCCCUUGACGGUACCUCACGAGGAAGCCCCGGCUAACUACGUGCCAGCAGCCGCGGUAAUACGUAGGGGGCAAGCGUUGUCCGGAAUUAUUGGGCGUGAAGGGCACGCAGGCGGUUCCUUAAGUCUGAUGUGAAAGCCCGUGGCUCAACCACGGAGGGCCAUUGGAAACUGGGGAACUUGAGAACUGAAGAGGAGAGUGGAAUUCCACGUGUAGCGGUGAAAUGCGUAGAUAUGUGGAGGAACACCAGUGGCGAAGGCGACUCUCUGGUCGGUUUCUGACGCUGAGGUGCGAAAGCGUGGGUAGCAAACAGGAUUAGAUACCCUGGUAGUCCACGCCGUAAACGAUGAGUGCUAGGUGUUAGGGGGCUUCCACCCCUUAGUGCUGAAGUUAACGCAUUAAGCACUCCGCCUGGGGAGUACGGCCGCAAGGCUGAAACUCAAAGGAAUUGACGGGGGCCCGCACAAGCGGUGGAGCAUGU
RNAcentral lists this ribosomal RNA (826 nucleotides) under uncultured bacterium. Its description in RNAcentral is "bacterial SSU rRNA". It matches the Rfam family "Bacterial small subunit ribosomal RNA", at positions 135 to 942 of the family's 1533-position model. The record is from RNAcentral.